ACUCAAAUGAAUUGACGGGGGCCCGCACAAGCGGCGGAGCAUGUUGCUUAAUUCGACGCAACGCGAAGAACCUUACCAAGGUUUGACAUGGACCGAAAACUCAUGGAGACAUGGGGUCCUUCGGGGCGGUUCACAGGUGGUGCAUGGCUGUCGUCAGCUCGUGUCGUGAGAUGUUGGGUUAAGUCCCGCAACGAGCGCAACCCUCGUCCCAUGUUGCCAGCGGGUUAUGCCGGGGACUCAUGGGAGACUGCCGGGGUCAACUCGGAGGAAGGUGGGGAUGACGUCAAGUCAUCAUGCCCCUUAUGUCUUGGGCUGCAAACAUGCUACAAUGGCCGGUACAGAGGGCUGCGAGCCCGCGAGGGUAAGCGAAUCCCGGAAAGCCGGUCUCAGUUCGGAUCGGGGUCUGCAACUCGGCCCCGUGAAGUCGGAGUCGCUAGUAAUCGCGGAUCAGCAACGCCGCGGUGAAUACGUUCCCGGGCCUUGUACACACCGCCCGU
Molecule: ribosomal RNA, 497 nt
Filed under: uncultured bacterium
Lineage: Bacteria
Description: partial 16S ribosomal RNA
Rfam family: Bacterial small subunit ribosomal RNA
Source: RNAcentral